Long non-coding RNA from Ctenopharyngodon idella (grass carp), 1643 nucleotides. RefSeq lists it as uncharacterized. The record is from RefSeq and is a predicted model, not a curated record. NCBI's taxonomy places the organism in Eukaryota, Metazoa, Chordata, Actinopteri, Cypriniformes, Xenocyprididae. The transcript has 2 exons.
UUCUAGUUCAAGAUGAGCAUUUAUGGUUAAAAUGUAUAAAAUUUUAAUUUUUUUUUAGAAAGUGAGUGAUGGUUUCUCUAGAUAAGACCCUUAUUUCUCGUCUGGGAUUGCAUAGAACGUUUUGAAGCUGCAAUGAAACUGUAUUUUUGACCUUCAACCAUUUGGAGGCCACUGAAGUCCACUAUAAGGAGAAAAAUCCUGGAAUGUUUUCAUCAAAAACCUUCAUUUCUUUUUGACUGAAGAAAGAAAGACAUGAACAUCUUGGAUGACAUGGGGAAUGGCCUCAAGAGGAUUACCAUUCACCAGAGCAGAGCCAAUCAGAGUGCAAUGUGUGGGGUUACACACCACCUGCCAAACUUUCAAGGCAGUUGAUGGGAUAAUCACACCGGACAAAACACAGACCACUACUUUGGCAGCCUUGUGGGAUGUACACCUCCCCACAAUCUGACCAAUCUCUCUUCAAAGAUCUGACAUAUAUUAUCAAAAAUUACACAAUACAUAAAACAUAUGGAAAAGACUCCAUAAUUGCAGCGCACAAGUCAAGUAUUUUUAAAACUUCGCCCCUCCCAUUGAGCAAACAAGAACAGAGGUUAGUAUUGGAGGUCCUGCUUCCACCUUCAAAAGAAAAAAGUGGUGAAGAACCUGACCUGUUUUCAUCAGGAGGAUAUGUCACCAUAAGAAGGUACAUUAAUAACAUCUGAGUACACAAUUUGUGUUAUACAUUUUUUUUUUUUUUUUUUUUACAGCUUAAAGUAAUAAGGAUGACAUCAUCAGAGAUGGGAGAAAUCCCAGUGCUUGACUUGGACCUGAAAUGUGGGUCCACAGAACUCAACGUCACACUGUGGCGUGCUGAAGCCUGGUACCGAUGGGCAUUGAGGACGAAGUCAUAAUGACUGAUCUGAGACCAAACAUCAUCAAGCUGAAUUCAUCCGCUUACACUAUGAUCUUAGUAUAAUAACCCUCCAUGGUUCACACCGUUGUCCUUUCUUAGACAUUCCACCCCCUUACAAAUGCUGUUUGAACAUGAUCCAUGUUUCCUCAGUUGAAAGAGUUAAACCUGGGUCAUUCUAAACCCCAGGUAAACCGAAUCCUUGGUAUAUUGCUUAACAUUUCACACUGAUCUAGGGGUGUGUGAUAAAGAUAUCUUGAUAUUUUCUGGGAUUUUAGCAAUAACAGUAUUUAUAUUUUGCUGAGUGUGGCAAGGACGACUGACUUCAAAUUUUUUGAUAUUGUUCAUAUUCUGUAUUGUGGUCAGUUAUAUAGGCAUUUUCCCUUUAUAAAGCCAUUUCUUAACCUAAGUAAAUGUAUGAAUCAUCUUUUGUGUCAAAUGCUUAAAUUUAAUCAAUAGAGGUGAUAAAAUCAUUAUCUAAGAAUUAAUCUACAGUUGUGGUCAGAAUUAUAUAUAUAUAUAUAUAUAUAUAAUAUCAGUGGCGUGCAGUGGUGUUCUGAAAUGAGGAGGCAAUUUUUUUUUUUAUUUAUGAAUCAAUGUAAAUUCAUGUGCAUUACUCUUAACGUUGACACAUCUUCCUUGUUAAAUGAACAUUACAUUACAUCAAAAAAGAAAAAAGAAACCAAAUACAAUUCUAUUUUGUAAUUUUACAUGAACAAUGUAUUGUAAUAAAUGUUCUAUUUAUCAAAACCAA